This is an RNA transcript of Xenia sp. Carnegie-2017, 1544 nucleotides long. RefSeq lists it as uncharacterized. The record is from RefSeq and is a predicted model, not a curated record. The transcript is spliced from 6 exons. NCBI's taxonomy places the organism in Eukaryota, Metazoa, Cnidaria, Anthozoa, Malacalcyonacea, Xeniidae.
UUUUGUUGGACUAUGCUGUAGUUUUUCUUUUGUAUGAAUAAUAAGUAAAAAUACAUGCGAAAAUAAAAACGUCUAAAUGCAGGGAGUGUGGAUAACCUAUUGACGGGACACAUAAGUAUCUACAUACUUAAAGUAGAAACACUUGCGUAACAUUGUAUGGGGAUACGUAGACGAACAGGAGUCAUAAAGAAAAACAGUGAGAACAAAGCCUUUAUGAAGAACAGAGAAUAUCGUUAUAAGUGAGAAGUUCACACGAGAUCAAGUAUCUACGAAGAGUGUUGAAUCUGUUGCAAAGAUUGUCUUUUUUGAAAGAUUUUCAGUAACUACGUGGUAGACAGCGGUAACAACAUAGUGAUUAAUCGUUUUCCUGACAACGACAGCUAAUACGACAACAAAGAUAAUUUUACUUGUUUUAUUAUAUUUCAUGGCGAACUCUUGUUGGUAAAACCUAGUGUAAAUCUUGUGAGGUACGGCUCUAUGCGAUUGUCUUUUCCUUGACAAGAGUUUCUGAUAUAUAAGUAAAAAUUUGCCGAACGGUGAAUUAAAAUUGCUGGCGCGAACACAUCAUAACUGUAUGACGAAGAAGUUACAAAGGAAGAUGUUACCAUCUUUGGGCAGCUUUAUAAUGGGAUGUAUUGGCUCAAGACAUGAAGACAGAGCAAACACAACAACAUCACAUGAGGAGGCAACAACAACACCGGCAAGAACGGCGAACAGCAACGUUGUAUCGUUUAAAGAAGAAACUGCCAAUGAAGCGGGUGUGAAUUUACAACCUAAAGUUAGUAUGAUGGCAGAUCAUACACUCAAACUUCUUCGAGAGAUUGGCGAACUAAAGACGUUCACCGAAAUUGAUCCGACGGACGUGAAUCUCAAUAAAUUUUCUGAUUUCAUUAUGGCGUUAGAGAACCCACAAGCUGCUGUAAACAACGCUAAAAACCAUGCUAAUAAGUGAAUUUGGACACAGUAUGGCGUGUCGAUUGGAUAAUUUUAUAUUUCCUUUCAUGUAUGGUUCAUUUGGUGCGUAGAAAGGUAGAAUUUAGUUGCAACUUGUUGGUUUAUCUACGAUGUAUACAGCACGACGCUAAAGACGUUACUAAGGAGAGAAACUACAAGGAUUUUCUUAAAACUAGUUUUUCAUGAGACACGAAAUUGUUCUAGAAAGAUCUAUGAGUGGCCCUGGCAUUGUAUGGUUUGUCGUAAUGUCUUUGCUCUAUGUACACAGAGAGAGAAAAACAGCAUUGUGAAUGAGUUCAACGAAAAACGUUUGAACAUUUUUUGUGGUUAGGGAAAGAUUCAUUGUCGCCUUGAAAAUAAUGCAACUUAUAGGAAUAUAGGAGGUUCAAUAUUUUGACGCACCAGAAACUGAGAGAAACCAUGCGUAUAGUCGUCAAAUUACAUAACAAUUGACGAAACAAAGACUUAGUUUAACUUCAUCGUCGUCAGUAGUUCCCGUCUUUGGCUUAGUUCAAAAGUGUUCUCGCAUAAUCUUUCGUCAGAAUUAGAAAACUUUCAACAAUGCAAUGAAUAGAUUGAUUAUUAAAGUA